This 253-nucleotide ribosomal RNA is filed under the name uncultured bacterium. Its description in RNAcentral is "partial 16S ribosomal RNA". It matches the Rfam family "Bacterial small subunit ribosomal RNA", at positions 524 to 776 of the family's 1533-position model. The record is from RNAcentral.
UACGGAGGGUGCGAGCGUUGUCCGGAAUCACUGGGCGUAAAGGGCGCGUAGGUGGCUCGGCAAGCGUGCGGUGAAAGUUCGAGGCUCAACCUCGAAUCGGCCGUGCGAACUGCCAGGCUUGAGCACUGUAGAGGCAGAUGGAAUUCCGGGUGUAGCGGUGGAAUGCGUAGAGAUCCGGAAGAACACCGGUGGCGAAGGCGGUCUGCUGGGCAGUUGCUGACACUGAGGCGCGACAGCGUGGGGAGCAAACAGG